This 2075-nucleotide long non-coding RNA is filed under the name Olea europaea subsp. europaea. The record is from RNAcentral. Lineage: Eukaryota; Viridiplantae; Streptophyta; Magnoliopsida; Lamiales; Oleaceae.
AAAAAGGGACAGUUAUGUUGGGAAAACAACACUCCCAAGAAUGGCCAAGAAAGAUAACUUGCAAUGUGAAAAUUUUCAAACCAUUUGAAAGAUAAAAAAUUGGGGAAGAAAUGAUUUUCAAUAUAAAUGAAGAACAAUGGAUUUGGAUUACUUGAAUAAGCCUCAAGUUAAUCCCAAAGAAAGAAAAAUGGCUUUGAAUUUAUACCCAAGAAGAACAACCUCUUACUUGAUAAAUUCUAUCCAAGCCCACUCUAUUUUCUCUUCUCUAAAAUCGGGUGCUCCGUUUGCAAGGAAAAAAACCAGCUUUAUAUAUAUGUAUCGGGGCGCCUAAGCGCCACUCACCUGGAUUCAGCAUUGGGGCGCCUAGGCGCCAGGUUUCUGCUCCAUUUUACCGGCUAGCGCCUAGGCACCCACUCAUGGCGCCCAGCUUCUUCUCCCAUUUCUCCAAUUCUCCACUUCGUAUAUUAUUUAAUAGACCUCAAAUUUUGGAUGAACACAAGAAGAAGUAGCAAGCGCCAAACUCGGCUGCACCAUUCAAACCAUGGUUGCCUACGUACCCAAAACUCGGGAUCAAACCUCCAUAGUUCACCUCCACCUUCAUAUACUCUUCACCUCAUUUCAACCCCACCCCGAAGGGCCAUGCCCACUCGGACAUAUCCACACGAACUAAUGUGAAGUCCAAGAUAUGCUGAAACUUGCUACCCAUUACCACUUUGGUUAACAUGUCUGCUGGGUUCUCAUUUGUGUGUACCUUCAAGAGAGAAACUUGCUACCCAUUACCACUCGGGCAUAUCAACACGAACUAAUGUGAAGUCCAAGAUAUGCUGAAACUUGCUACCCGUUACCACUUUGGUUAACAUGUCUGCUGGAUUCUCAUUUGUGUGUACCUUCAAGAGAGAAAUAUCACAUUCCUCUAUGACAUUACCCACAAAAUGAUACCUGACGUCGAUAUUCUUGGUUCGAGCAUGAUGAACCUGAUUCUUAGCCAAGUGAAUCGCACUCUGGCUAUCACACCACAAGUCCACACAAUCCUGCUCAAUCCCCAAAUUAUCUAGAAGACCCCACAACCACAAUGCUUCCUUCACUCCCUCUGCCAUGGCCAUAUACUCGACCUCUGUAGUAGAAAGAGCCACUGUAGCCUGUAACAUCAAUCGCCAACUAACUGGGGCAUCAUGUAUGCAAAACAUAUAUCCAGUAGUAGAUCGUCGUCUAUCUAGAUCACCUGCAUAAUCCGAGUCCACAAAUCCACUUAUAUGACAUGCAUCUCCUCUAAAACAUAAACCCGUAUCCGCGGUACCUUUUAAGUACCUCAGGAUCCACUUCACAGCUUCCCAGUGUGCCUUCCCCGGGUUCGCCAUGAAUCUACUGACCAUACUAAUCGCCUGUGAAAUAUCUGGGCGUGUACACACCAUGGCAUACAUCAAACUGCCAACUGCACUAGCAUAAUGUACACGAUCCAUGCGUACCUUUUCUUCCGCUGUAGUAAGAGAUUGUUUACCAGAGAGCCUGAAAUGUGGAGCCAAUGGAGUUACCACCGACUUUGCACCUUGCAACCCGAACCUAGCAAUAACCCGCUCAAUGUAGCCUUUCUGACUCAAGAAUAUUAGCCGGUUCGUCCUCUCUCUUCUAAUCUCCAUACCUAGUAUUUUCCUAGCAGCCCCCAUAUCCUUCAUCUCAAACUCUUUACCAAGUUGAGAUUUCAACCUAUCUAUCUGCACCUUACUUUUCGAAGCGAUAAGCAUGUCAUCCACAUACAAAAAAAGAUAGAUAUAGUAACCGCCCCGAAGUUUUCGAAUAUAAACACAACAGUCAUACUCACUUCUAGAGAAAUCAUGCUUUAACAUGAAGGAGUCAAAUCGCUUGUACCACUGCCGAGGAGAUUGCUUCAAUCCAUAUAAUGAUUUUCUCAAGCGACAUACCUGAAGUUCCUUAUCCUCAACCUUGUAGCCUUCAGGUUGAUGCAUAUAGAUUUCCUCAUCCAAGUCCCCGUGCAAGAAGGCGAUUUUGACAUCGAGUUGUUCCAGCUCAGGAUCAUGAUGAGCAACAAUACUCAAUAGCACCCGAAUGGAAGUAUG